CUACAUUAAUGAAAAGAGCAAU
RNAcentral lists this microRNA (22 nucleotides) under Mus musculus (house mouse). Its description in RNAcentral is "mmu-miR-3618-3p". The record is from miRBase by way of RNAcentral. Lineage: Eukaryota; Metazoa; Chordata; Mammalia; Rodentia; Muridae.